This 437-nucleotide unclassified non-coding RNA is filed under the name Hevea brasiliensis (rubber tree). Lineage: Eukaryota; Viridiplantae; Streptophyta; Magnoliopsida; Malpighiales; Euphorbiaceae. The record is from RNAcentral.
AGUACUGUGUUCCUCAAGGAAGCCAAUGAUGUUUCGCAUUUAAUUGAUAAAUGUACAUUAUUGUUGUUUAGAGAUAAAUUUGUAGCACUUAGUGGUCAUAGGGAGAUCAAUUUGUGUAAUUAGAUGGCUUCAUGACUUUUUUUCAUUUCAUAUUAUGAUUUAUCCAUAAAAAAAUCUGUUAUUAAUUCCUGUCCAGCAAAAUCUAAAUAUCAUGGGAUUUGAACUGAUUAUUGUAGUUUGUGGCUGAUGUACAUGAUAGUUUUAGGUAUUUGUUGUCAUUGAAAUGAUGUUAGUAAGCAUAGUUGGUAGGUAAAUAAAAUGGAAGAAAGCAUUUUGUUGUCUACAUUCAUAAAGCUAAGGGCAAAAUUGACCACACAAAAAUUUUAAAAAAAUAUAUAUAUGAAACACCAAGCUUCCUUUAUUAUAUGGUAUAAAUU